AGCCUGGUGGUGAAAAAAAUCAUGCAGGAGUAUGCAAAAACAAAAUCACUGAACGAUGCCACCAGAAGACAGAUGAUUAACAUUCUCACUGCUGAGAUGACACAAACACAUGGGACAUCCCCCCCAAAAGUGUCAGAGUGUUGUAUGCGCAGGGGAUAGUUGCUCUAUUUCCAUAUCUGGAGGACCCAUAUUCACAGCAUGGAUACAAAGUGGGUCCGGAUACCUUGCAUGGCGGUUGAAAACCAUCCAACGAAAAAGUGCAGAGGAAAGAGGUGUGUCUGUGAGCAAAUCUCCCAAAAGUAAGUUUACUUGUCAGUUACAUACAGGCUU
This is a long non-coding RNA of Solea solea (common sole), 330 nucleotides long. RefSeq lists it as uncharacterized. The record is from RefSeq and is a predicted model, not a curated record. The transcript has 3 exons. Lineage: Eukaryota; Metazoa; Chordata; Actinopteri; Pleuronectiformes; Soleidae.